AUCUACCUUGAAGUCUGCCAAACUGAAUGGGGUAUUUUCCUGGAGGCGCCUUGUGAAUGAUGUAGACAGUUCAGGGUGAAAACACAAUCUGAUUCCUCCCACAUCCUUUCAU
Molecule: long non-coding RNA, 112 nt
Filed under: Anas platyrhynchos platyrhynchos (common mallard)
Lineage: Eukaryota; Metazoa; Chordata; Aves; Anseriformes; Anatidae
Description: lncRNA (ENSAPLG00000029895.1)
Source: RNAcentral